CGCAGGCAGAGCCGGGCUUGCCGGGCUCCCCGUCUCCCCGCAGGAGAAGGGGGCCAAAAGUCAAUAGGCGUAGGGAGAAAUGAAGUGAAAAGUGACUUAGAAAGAGAAGACCCUUCGCAGCUGCUUGUUUAAUGAUGGCGCAGCCAAGCCCUCCCCGCCAGGAUUAUUACUGAGGCAGCGUGACAGGGUGGCUGACAAACUGCCUCGACCAAACCUUGUCUUGCUCAAGCACUUGCUGUCUCUGCUCCACCACAUCAGCCAGAACGCUGAGACCAACAGGAUGGACUCCAGCAAUCUGGCCAUCUGCAUUGGCCCAAAUAUGCUGAGCCCAGAGACGGACAACACGCUCCCCCUGGAAGUCCAGAAGGAGAUGAAUGACAAGGUGAUGGUGUUGGUGAAGUUCCUCAUAGGCAACUGCUCAGAAACGUUUGGGGUGGACAUUGCCUUCUCUGUCUGUGCCUUGGCUGAGGCGUCACCGGAGCACACAGACAGCUCCACAGGUAUGCGAAAGGACUGGGCCUGUCACAGA
Molecule: non-coding RNA, 529 nt
Organism: Phalacrocorax carbo (great cormorant)
Lineage: Eukaryota; Metazoa; Chordata; Aves; Suliformes; Phalacrocoracidae
Source: RefSeq, a predicted model, not a curated record